GGAGCAGCAGUUGACUCCGGAUCGUCUUGAACUUCGUCUGGAACGAAUAUGUGAAGUUAGCCGCACGUUGGAAAGCGAUGCCAGCCGGGUGAACGGUUCAAAAGUUUUUACGUUUCUUUAGAUUUUGCGUUGAUAAAGUGUGCGAGAGUGUGUUUUGAGAGGCAACAGUUCUAUACAGAGGCAUUCAGUCUGCGUUUCCUACGAAUGUGAAGGCUUUGAUGUUUAUGGAGAUGGACGUGUUCUUUGCGGGAAAGGUGAAAGAAGAAAUUCGCGGAGCAGCGGAUCGAUUCGAGGAAGAAACCGUGGGAACAAAAACGACCGGCUGCCGCGAAGGAAGGAAGAAAAAAUAUGCCAUGAAUUGGGAGAAACUCCAGGUCAAAACUGAUCGACGAU
Megalopta genalis is the source of this 393-nucleotide long non-coding RNA. RefSeq lists it as uncharacterized. The record is from RefSeq and is a predicted model, not a curated record. NCBI's taxonomy places the organism in Eukaryota, Metazoa, Arthropoda, Insecta, Hymenoptera, Halictidae.